GACGAACGCUGGCGGCGUGCUUAACACAUGCAAGUCGAACGGAAAGGCCCCUUUGGGGGUACUCGAGUGGCGAACGGGUGAGUAACACGUGAGUAACCUGCCCUUGACCUCGGGAUAACUUCAGGAAACUGGGGCUAAUACCGGAUAGGAAUCCUUGCUGCAUGGUGGGGGUUGGAAAGCUUCGGCGGUUUUGGAUGGACUCGCGGCUUAUCAGCUUGUUGGUGGGGUAGUGGCUUACCAAGGCUUUGACGGGUAGCCGGCCUGAGAGGGCGACCGGCCACAUUGGGACUGAGAUACGGCCCAGACUCCUACGGGAGGCAGCAGUGGGGAAUAUUGCACAAUGGGCGGAAGCCUGAUGCAGCAACGCCGCGUGCGGGAUGACGGCCUUCGGGUUGUAAACCGCUUUCAGCAGGGGCGAAGCUUGUGGUGACGGUACCUGCAGAAGAAGCACCGGCUAACUACGUG
This 465-nucleotide ribosomal RNA is filed under the name uncultured bacterium. RNAcentral's name for it is "partial 16S ribosomal RNA". It matches the Rfam family "Bacterial small subunit ribosomal RNA", at positions 28 to 507 of the family's 1533-position model. The record is from RNAcentral.